CGCACCUUGCGCUCUUUGGUAUUCCGAAGAGCAUGCCUGUUUGAGUGUCAUUAAAUUCUCAACUCUACCAGUUUUGCUGUGUAGAGCUUGGAUAUGGAGGUCGUGCAGAGCGCUUCGCGUCCUGCUCCUCUUAAAUGGAUUAGCGAGUUCACUGGACUCCGUCUAUUGGUGUGAUAAUUAUCUACGCCGUGGAUUGGGUUUAGACUAGCUUCUAACCGUCCGCAAGGACAACUCUUGACAAUUUGACCUCAAAUCAGGUAGGACUACCCGCUGAACUUAA
This 280-nucleotide unclassified non-coding RNA is filed under the name Narcissea cordispora. Its description in RNAcentral is "Coprinus cordisporus partial contains 5.8S ribosomal RNA, internal transcribed spacer 2, and large subunit ribosomal RNA". Lineage: Eukaryota; Fungi; Basidiomycota; Agaricomycetes; Agaricales; Psathyrellaceae. The record is from RNAcentral.